GCCUCGGUAGCUCAGCCGGCCAGAGCACCCCACUCGUAAUGGGAAGGUCACCGGUUCGACUCCGGUCCGAGGCU
This 74-nucleotide transfer RNA is filed under the name Brachybacterium kimchii. Its description in RNAcentral is "Brachybacterium sp. CBA3104 tRNA-Thr". It matches the Rfam family "tRNA". From Rfam's summary of the family: Transfer RNA (tRNA) molecules are approximately 80 nucleotides in length. Their secondary structure includes four short double-helical elements and three loops (D, anti-codon, and T loops). Further hydrogen bonds mediate the characteristic L-shaped molecular structure. tRNAs have two regions of fundamental functional importance: the anti-codon, which is responsible for specific mRNA codon recognition, and the 3' end, to which the tRNAs corresponding amino acid is attached (by aminoacyl-tRNA synthetases). tRNAs cope with the degeneracy of the genetic code in two manners: having more than one tRNA (with a specific anti-codon) for a particular amino acid; and 'wobble' base-pairing, i.e. permitting non-standard base-pairing at the 3rd anti-codon position. The record is from RNAcentral. Lineage: Bacteria; Bacillati; Actinomycetota; Actinomycetes; Micrococcales; Dermabacteraceae.